GAAAGGCCCUGCUUGCAGGGUACUCGAGUGGCGAACGGGUGAGUAACACGUGGGUGAUCUGCCCUGCACUUCGGGAUAAGCCUGGGAAACUCGGGUCUAAUACCGGAUAGGAGCCAUUUUUAGUGUGAUGGUUGGAAAGUUUUUUCGGUGUAGGAUGAGCUCGCGGCCUAUCAGCUUGUUGGUGGGGUAAUGGCCUACCAAGGCGGCGACGGGUAGCCGGCCUGAGAGGGUGGACGGCCACAUUGGGACUGAGAUACGGCCCAGACUCCUACGGGAGGCAGCAGUGGGGAAUAUUGCACAAUGGGCGCAAGCCUGAUGCAGCGACGCCGCGUGGGGGAUGACGGCCUUCGGGUUGUAAACUCCCUUCGCUAGGGACGAAGCUUUUUGUGACGGUACCUAGAUAAGAAGCACCGGCUAACUACGUGCCAGCAGCCGCGGUAAUACGUAGGGUGCGAGCGUUGUCCGGAAUUACUGGGCGUAAAGGGCUCGUAGGUGGUUUGUCGCGUCGUCUGUGAAAUUCCGGGGCUUAACUCCGGGCGUGCAGGCGAUACGGGCAUAACUUGAGUACUGUAGGGGUAACUGGAAUUCCUGGUGUAGCGGUGAAAUGCGCAGAUAUCAGGAGGAACACCGAUGGCGAAGGCAGGUUACUGGGCAGUUACUGACGCUGAGGAGCGAAAGCAUGGGUAGCGAACAGGAUUAGAUACCCUGGUAGUCCAUGCCGUAAACGGUGGGCGCUAGGUGUGAGGGUCUUUUCACGACUUUCGUGCCGUAGCUAACGCAUUAAGCGCCCCGCCUGGGGAUACGCCGCAAG
RNAcentral lists this ribosomal RNA (811 nucleotides) under uncultured Actinomycetes bacterium. RNAcentral describes it as "bacterial SSU rRNA". It matches the Rfam family "Bacterial small subunit ribosomal RNA", at positions 68 to 892 of the family's 1533-position model. The record is from RNAcentral. Lineage: Bacteria; Bacillati; Actinomycetota; Actinomycetes.